AAAGGAGACUUCGGUCUCUGAGUACAGUGGCGCACGGGUGCGUAACACGUAAGUAAUCUACCCCGAACUCUGGGAUAACCCUCCGAAAGGAGGGCUAAUACUGGAUAGGGUCCCCGAGGUGUAGGCUGCGGGGGGAAAACGGGCCUCUGUUUCAUGCUCGUGGUUGGGGAUGAGCUUGCGGCCCAUUAGCUUGUUGGCAGGGUAACGGCCUACCAAGGCUACGAUGGGUAGCUGGUCUGAGAGGAUGAUCAGCCACACUGGCACUGAGACACGGGCCAGACUCCUACGGGAGGCAGCAGUGGGGAAUUUUGCGCAAUGGGCGAAAGCCUGACGCAGUAACGCCGCGUGGAGGAUGAAGGCCUUCGGG
Molecule: ribosomal RNA, 367 nt
Filed under: uncultured bacterium
Lineage: Bacteria
Description: bacterial SSU rRNA
Rfam family: Bacterial small subunit ribosomal RNA
Source: RNAcentral